Molecule: unclassified non-coding RNA, 88 nt
Filed under: Pseudomonas sp. B10
Lineage: Bacteria; Pseudomonadati; Pseudomonadota; Gammaproteobacteria; Pseudomonadales; Pseudomonadaceae
Source: RNAcentral
UGUGGGAGCGAGCCUGCUCGCGAAUACGGUCUGUCAGUGACAUUGAACUGUCUGAUACACCGCUAUCGCGAGCAGGCUCGCUCCCACA